AGGUAUAUAGCUCAAGUGGCAGAGCCCAUGCUUAGCAUGCAUGAGGUCCUAGGUUCAAUCCCCAGUACCUC
RNAcentral lists this transfer RNA (71 nucleotides) under Camelus bactrianus (Bactrian camel). It matches the Rfam family "tRNA". From Rfam's summary of the family: Transfer RNA (tRNA) molecules are approximately 80 nucleotides in length. RNAcentral also lists the same sequence under 1 other name. The record is from Rfam by way of RNAcentral. Lineage: Eukaryota; Metazoa; Chordata; Mammalia; Artiodactyla; Camelidae.